UGUUGUUUACCCCGUGUCCUCGUGGCUCUUCCAGUACCGCCCUGUUGCAGGGUGGGCUGCUGCCAUCCUUUCCGUGGGGUGGAGGGGCAGUUUCCCUGCCCCGUUAUGGGGUUUGGCUUUCAGGAGGGCUGUGUGGGUCCUGAGGGUGUUGGCAGUGUGGGCUGAGCGGGGCCCUCCCCACCUGCACUGUAGACUGAUUACAGCAUAAUCCCAGGGAUUAACCACGUGUAAUCCUGGGGUUUAAGCACUGCCUCCCUCGGCCUCCCCUAAAUCCCACUCUGGCCCAUCUGCUCCCCCCAGCGCUGUCCAGGCUCACGUGGGCUGGCACGGGGCUGCAGCAGCACUCGCCAACUGGGCUGAGGGAAAGGUCUGUGCUGUGCUGAGUCUCGCUGAGCUGCAGCGCUUCUGGUGGUUCCUUACGCCCUCGAGGUGGAGCCCAAAGGCUGCAUUUAGGGCCAAGGAGCCCUCACAGCCCCUUCAGCCACUUAACCACAGAGCGAAGCCCCCACACUCACCUGGGAGUUCCCACCCACCUGUGCUGCAUACAAACGUUGUGGCAGGAGCCUUAAAUCUGCUUUAAUUUAGUCACGGAAUGGCUCUUCUCCUGCAGGUGCACUCCAAACUACGACCUGGCAUCACAGAGCAGCACCAGAGCCCAUGGAAGCAAACCCGAGUGGCUUCGAGAGCGCAUCCCCCAGCAAGAAAACUUCCAGGGAAAGUUUCCUUGUUUGCCUGGGCACGGACAGAGCGAGGAGCAGAGCGAGGUGUGGGGUAGGAGGAGCCGCCUUUAAUCCUAACAAGCCCGGUGCUGAGCCCCACCUGCCAUGGGAUGAGUGCAUGGAGCUGCACGGAGCCUCGGGGGGCGCAGGAAGGGACGGCAGCCCUGUGGUGUCCCAGGGAAGAGAGAACUGCAGGCAGACCCUGAACGUUCCGGUCCCCAUAAGCUGCUGUCAGAGCUCCGAGAAGAGCGGCUGCUCCCGCACGCUGCUGCUGGCCGUCACCACGGCGGGGCUGCGGCCAGGGCUGCCGUAGGGCACGUGGGUGCUCAGGAAGAAGAAGGGGAUGUGGCUGAUGGUCCCCGUGGACCAGCACACGGUCAGCAGCGCUCCCUUCUGGAAGCAGGGGUGGAAGGCGAUGAGCUGCGGCUCCGCGCUCUGCUCCCCCCGCAGGAAUCCGCUGGAAGGGAAAGGAGAGCCGCAGUGAGCCGGGCGGCACAGCGAUAACGCACAGCGCUUUGGGGUGAAGGGGGAUCUCUGCUGCACCGCGAGACAGAACCACAGCGGGCUUUCAGGAUGAUGGACAACGUGUCCAAAACGUGACCGCUUUGGGGGUAAAACGGUACUGCGUGGAGCAGCGGUGUGGGAUGGCAGCAGCACAGCAUCUCUUCGCUCCUUCCCACUGCAUCCCAAAGGCGGACGGCGUCCAACCAACCCCACAGCACCUCAAGAAGCCCCAAAGCCAUCUGCUACGCACCACGGCAGGAGCUCAAACACGGGGCUGUUGCGGAGGGGCAGUCACAGCGAGGAGGAGUGGAGAGAAGGGGGGUGCUGCCCCCAACCCCGAGGAGUUCCCUGCAGGAAGGACGGAUUUGGGGCGAAGCCGGCGGGGAGCAGCGCUGCGCCACAGCUCUGACCUCGGAUGAUCACCGCCAGCCGCUCCCCGGUGGGGUCCCACGCCAUGGACUGCACAGCUCCUCCAACCCUGCAGCACAGCACAGUGAGUGCCCACCGACGUGCCCAGGGCCAGGGGGGGGCACAGAGCCCCCCCACCUCCCAGCGUCGCUCCGUGGGGCCGCGUGCAGUCAGACCCACCUCUCCUCCCCAUAGGGCGUCUCGAAGGUGGUCUCUGACAGAUCUGCCACAAUCGAAGCUGUUUUCGAACCUCCCACCUGGCCCUGCAUGUCCCCUGCAAUGAAGGCCCAAAGAGCACGCUGGUUUCUGCUUCCCUGCUCUGUGCACGUCGUCUCACUGCCCUAAAUCUGCGCUUCUGCUCCUAAAAUGAUGCGGAAUUUCUGCCCCUUGGAGCUGUGGAGCCUCCUGCUGUCCCAGGACGGCACACAGGGAAGGAUUUCCCUGGACAGAAGUGAGCACCCAUUGCCUCCACGCAGAACGGGCACGUGAGUGAGCUGAGCAGCUGCGCUGUGAGAAUCUCCCUGCAGAGCUCCAAGCUGAAGGAGUGACACGAGGGGGGAAUACGGACAGCAAACUGUUGUGAGAGCCCCCACAAACCUCCUCCUUCCACCCCCUCCUCCACUGUCCCGGCUUUGCCACGCCACAGCAGGUUGGAAGCUCUCCCUGACGGAUGCAGAGCCUCUCUUGGCCACAACCACCCACAGCUGAAAGCGAAACGACGGCUGGGGAAGCAAAUGGGGCUCUCUGGGGGGCACUCACCCCUGUACUCGGAGAAGGACAAGGAGUAGAUGACGGACUCCCCCAGCACUGUGAAGAGCAGCCGGCUGCCAUCAGGGCUCCAACACCCCGUCUGCGGGGCACAGGGGGACGUCAGAAUGCCCAGCACACCCCCGAGUGGUGGGAAAUGCCCCUUCCCGCUGUGCCCGCCCCACCUGGCAGCGCCCUUUGAUGGUGGGCCACUUCUCACACGUCCACAUCUGAGCUUCCCACACUCUGUAAGAGAGGGAGAAUGACGUGAGGGGGACGAACUGCCCCAAACCUGCCCCAAUUCUGCCCCUCUGAGAGGAGCCCGAGGCAUCAGACCCAACUUUACCCCCAUAUCUGACACGGGGGGAAGGGGAGCAGCGAUGACACAAAGCAGCCAGGUGUGCUCCGAUGGGGGGCAAAUGAAAACGGUAAUAGAGUUGAGAGUGAACAAAAAGAGGAAGGAAGGGGGCCAGGAGCUCACUUGAACACGGCAGAGGGGGUGGCUGCCAGGACUUUGCUGCCAUCGGGGGACCACGCCAAGAAGGUGACCCCACCGCCCCCGAACCACUGCAGCUGGACACAGUUCUCGGUGGACACAUCCCACACCUGGAGGGGGACAGAGGGGUGGGGGGCAGCGCAGCGCUCCCACCAUCAGCCCGAGCCCAGACGUGGGGCACUGCGGAGCGCUCCAAAUUCAGGGCCGUCCUUUGAGGAAACGCUGCCCCCCGUGGUCACAGCACCUCCUGAGCAUCCCAGCAGUGGGGUGAUGGCCCCGGACCCCCAAACACAGCCCCACGCUCACCAGCAUGGCCGUGUCCACGGGUGAGGCCGAGAGCAGCAGCUUCCCGCUGGGUGCCCACGCCAGGCUGGUGACGGGGCUGUGCCCGGGGUAGGACAGCACCUGGGCGCAGCCGGAUGAGGGUCUGCGGGGACAGAAACCACAGCUGAUGGGGGACAGGAGGGACGCCGAGGGCCGGUGGUGCACCACAGCGCGUUCCGUACCCCCAGCGGGACGGACAGCAGCCUGGAUUUAACCUGAAGCCCGACAAAAUGGGAUGGACGGCCCUCGCUGUGAGGUCAGGGGCGCGAGUGUGGGGCUGUCACCCCAUGGGAACGUCACCCCAUGGGAACGUCACCUGGUGGAGAGGGACGUGGGGUCCAGGUGCCACACGAGGACGCAGCUCUGGCAGGCGACGGCCAGGAUGGAGGCACACAGCGGCUUCCAGGCGACGGCGGCCACAUUCCUCUGCAGACGAUGCUUCAGCGAUGGGAUGGUGGCACUGCGGGGAGGAGGGAGCGUGACAGGAGGCCGAGCGGGAGCAGCGGGGUCACAACGAGGUGGGACGUCCCCGGGGACCUCUCUGCAGCCCUGAGUGCGGUGGGUGCCUAAAGCCUACGGGGAGGGGGGCCCACCGUGAGCUGUGCCCUCAGGGGGGACGGAGGGGACCCAGCCAGGUGACACCGGUGCUGCUGGAGCACACCUCGUGCGAUUCAGCGCCCGCAGCCCGGGGGGAGAUCUGGCACUUGUUGGCUUGAAAUCCCAACUGGGGGAGAGCGGCUCGGCGGGGCAGCGCUGCUUGGGGCGCAGCACGAGCCGGGAAAGUCUUCUCUUAAGGAGGGCUUUAUAGGUCUGCCGAGACCCGCCGGGGGAGCAAGGAGACCUAGAGGAGAAAUGAGGCUGAAGGGCGAGAGAAAGCCCGGCUGGGGGUGGGGGUGUCGGGAAGGGUCCUAACAGAGCUCUGUGAGAAGUCG
RNAcentral lists this long non-coding RNA (4130 nucleotides) under Gallus gallus (chicken). Lineage: Eukaryota; Metazoa; Chordata; Aves; Galliformes; Phasianidae. The record is from RNAcentral.